GAGAUGUUGGGUAAGUCCCGCAACGAGCGCAACCCCCUGUGAUUUGUUGCCACCGGCGCAAGCCGAGCACUCGAAUCAGACUGCCCAGAUCAACUGGGAGGAAGGUGGGGACGACGUCAAGUCAGUAUGGCCCUUACGCCCAGGGCUGCACACGUACUACAAUGCCCAGCACAAUGUGAACCGAAACCGCGAGGUGGAGGAAAUCUAGAAAACUGGGCUCAGUUCAGAUUGCAGGCUGCAACUCGCCUGCAUGAAGUCGGAAUCGCUAGUAAUGGCGCAUCAGCUACGGCGCCGUGAAUACGUUCCCGGGUCUUGUACACACCGCCCGUCACAUCAUGGAAGCUGGUUUCGCCCGAAGUGCCCGCGCCAACCGCAAGGAGGCAAGGCCCUAAGGCAAGACUGGUAACUGGGAUGAAGUCGUAACAAGGUAGCCG
Molecule: ribosomal RNA, 434 nt
Filed under: uncultured bacterium
Lineage: Bacteria
Description: bacterial SSU rRNA
Rfam family: Bacterial small subunit ribosomal RNA
Source: RNAcentral